RNAcentral lists this ribosomal RNA (84 nucleotides) under Staphylococcus pettenkoferi. Its description in RNAcentral is "partial 16S ribosomal RNA". It matches the Rfam family "Bacterial small subunit ribosomal RNA", at positions 1 to 83 of the family's 1533-position model. Lineage: Bacteria; Bacillati; Bacillota; Bacilli; Caryophanales; Staphylococcaceae. The record is from RNAcentral.
UUUUUAUGGAGAGUUUGAUCCUGGCUCAGGAUGAACGCUGGCGGCGUGCCUAAUACAUGCAAGUCGAGCGAACAGACGGGGAGC